RNAcentral lists this unclassified non-coding RNA (206 nucleotides) under soil metagenome. RNAcentral describes it as "partial contains 5.8S ribosomal RNA, internal transcribed spacer 2, and large subunit ribosomal RNA". The record is from RNAcentral.
AAGACUAUAGACCUGCGGAGUACCUGCGGAAGGAUCAUUAUCGUGGAGCUCCGGCUCCUUCGAGGGAGAACCCUUGCCUUUUCGAGCACCUGUUUGUUUCCUCGGCAGGCCCGCCUGCCAAUGGGGACCCCUUAAACUCUUGCAACAACCUGUAUGAAAUCGUCUGAACAAAACAAACAAAUCAAAACUUUCAGCAAUGGAUCUCU